Molecule: ribosomal RNA, 253 nt
Filed under: uncultured bacterium
Lineage: Bacteria
Description: partial 16S ribosomal RNA
Rfam family: Bacterial small subunit ribosomal RNA
Source: RNAcentral
UACAGAGGGUGCGAGCGUUAAUCGAAAUGACUGGGCGUAAAGGGUGCGUAGGUGGUUAUUUAAGUUAGGUGUGAAAGUCCUGGGCUUAACCUGGGGAUUGCGCCUAAUACUGAAUAGCUAGAGUACUGUAGAGGAAAGUGGAAUUUCCGGUGUAGCGGUGAAAUGCGUAGAUAUCGGAAGGAACAUCAGUGGCGAAGGCGACUUUCUGGACAGAUACUGACACUGAGGCACGAAAGCAUGGGGAGCAAACAGG